CUUCUCAUUAUUGGAGUGACUAGUAUAGAAUCUGGGUAUUAGGUGCAAAAAUAGAAAAAGGAACGUGGAACGUUGGAUUGAAGAUGAGUGGUCCAGAUCUAGGUGGAGCGAUCUGUGCUCACAACUGCAUCCUUAUUUGCAAAAACGUCCCUUUGCUUCUCAUUAUUGCUUCGCGACCUUGUCCUUGGACCGAGAUCCGCACUAGCCCAUCUCCCUGCCGCUCGUCGACGGCGGCGGGGUCCAGAUCCGGUGCUCCUCCCCCUCCCAAUCCAUCUUCCAGGCAGGCUCAGCCUCCAGGCGCCCCUCGACGCCGCACUGCACCUCAUCGACCAGGACCCUGGCCGCCGCCGCCACGGUCUCCUCCUCCCUGGUGGCCGCGGACGCCAACUCGUGCAUCUGCCCAGGAAUCCAUGAGGCACCACCUGGCCGUCUCUGUGGCGGAUUACGACAGAUUUGCGACCAAGCUCAAGACCCCCGGCACAGACUUGUUCGCCAAGACGCAACCCGAUGGCCGCGUGCGCCAAGUGUUCUUCCUCGACCGGGACGGUGUGGAAUUCCCUUCUUGGAUGACUUUUAUGUUCGUUGGAUUCCUAUUUUUUCAAAAUUAAUUUCAGAGUUCGGACUGCUUGCCUUUUACUUCUUGUCAUCUAGUGUUAGAGAUGCAGUAUGCAUGUGAAAGUCUAUUACAUCUCUGGAAUUUUCUUCAUUAGUUACUGAAGCACGCUUAGCAGUUAGCACGGUGAGAGCAUAAGGAGAAGAAUCAUUACGAUUUUCUCAAAUAGCCUCUGCAAUUUAUCACAUACUCAAGUACCAUGUAUAUCUUCGUCAUGCUAGCGGAAACCUGUAGAACAGGGGGAAAGUGUAUCAUACUCAGGGUGGUCAAGGAUAGGUUGAACAUGGACAACUGUUACAGAUGUGCCUGAUUGAUAAUUUUAUUUUUCUGAAAAUUUGGUACGAUUUCCAUCAUUAUACUUUUCAGGGAAUCAAAUUUUCAAUGGAGGAAGAUGUCCUCGGCUUUCUUGGUUGCUACUGCAUGUCUGCAUCUCCAAUAUAUUGCAGUUAUGUCAUCAGUGAAUAAUUUAGUGAGUUUAGGAAUCAAAUUUGGGGACUCUAGUUUUCUCUUUAAUCAGUACUUUCUUGGCUGCCGGGUGCAAUUUUACAUUUCAGGAAUCAAAUUUUCAAUGCUUGCUUCAGCAUGUAGGUGUCACUUUCCAACCUUUCUGAUUGCAGGAAGCCAAAAGCCUAACAUGGAGUUAUCCACUUAACUCAAUCAGUUGGUGAACCAAACACUCAAAAUAAAUUAGUCUUUUUCCCUUCCCAAGUUACUUAUGAAAAUACUAUUGUCUAGCUCGUUUGGCACUUCUCUCUACGUUGCAUUUGCAGUAUAUGAUACAUGCAGUAGCCUCAUGCCGUGCAACCUUUCAUGUUUUCUUCACAUGCAAAUGUAGCAUUUGUAAGGGAGUGGUGUUCCAUGAUGUAAGGGCGUGCUCUGAUAAAAACAUGACAUGACAAUAGAGGUAGAUUUGACAACUGGAUGCCCAGGCUUAGAUAGGAACUGAGAUGACAUAGCAGCGGAAGAACACGAUGAUUUUCCAGUUCAUUUCAUUAGCACUUUGAUUUAUUGAGGGCGGCGAAGUGAAGGAAGCUCUGUGUGCGAAAAUAAACACACCUUUGUGUGUAAAAAGUGUACUGAUGGAUUUUCUGUGUAACUGGUAUUUCUGUUCACGCUUAAGAAGUGCUUCAUAAUGGCCGAAUUGUACAGUUCAAGUUGAGUGUUAAUCAUUAUCUAUAAUAAAUCAGGUUUCUGAA
This is a long non-coding RNA of Aegilops tauschii subsp. strangulata, 1809 nucleotides long. RefSeq lists it as uncharacterized. The record is from RefSeq and is a predicted model, not a curated record. Lineage: Eukaryota; Viridiplantae; Streptophyta; Magnoliopsida; Poales; Poaceae.